Homo sapiens (human) is the source of this 1236-nucleotide long non-coding RNA. Ensembl annotates it as MIR924 host gene. Its record names the gene MIR924HG. Lineage: Eukaryota; Metazoa; Chordata; Mammalia; Primates; Hominidae. The record is from Ensembl.
GGAUUCGAACGGCAGGCGGGAAGUGCUCUAGCAGGGGAGUCUGACCUUGUGAGGGAAUACCUGUGUCCCCCCUUUUUUCCCCUUUUUACCCAAUAAAACCCUGCCUUACUCACCCUUUAAAUCAUCUGCGAGCCUGAAUUUUCAUGGCCGUGGGACGGACAAGAACUUUAUCUUCAGCUGAACUAAGAAAAAGUCCUGCAACAUUUUUGGCGCGCAAUGUGGGGGCACCAGAAGCGGGCACCGUUGAGCUGUUGCAACUGUUCUGCUGAGUUGUACUGCGACAUUAGCUCUUUUGACUAGAUGUGAUGACAGACUGUCUUUGGUCCAUUCUCUUUUAUUGCCUUGGAAGAGAAUAAAUGAGGAGUAGUUCUCACCCAUUGCAGCUGAGGCAUCACACCUGUAAUGGGAUUAACAAGAUGAUAAUAUAUCUUUUGCCAAGACCACAUACUAGCAGAAAGAGACCUCAAGUAAACCUCCAGCAGCCAUCUGGACUUCCAUGAAAACAGAACAAUCAGUGAGAUGCAGAGCUUGGAGGAGACAGUUUCCAUAGACUGAAGCACGUGCUGAAGCAAAGUUCACACUUGCAGGAUUAGAAGAGGUUGACCGAAAGAAGGAAGGACAUGGACAGCUAUGUUGUUGUGGAGUCCUGUUUUAUAGUCAUAACCUUGAGUCAAGUGAGUUUGUCUGGACAGACAGAGCUUGUUGCCUUUACUUAUAGGGAAGGCACCGGACACAGACAGCCUCAAGGACAUUUGUUCUAGCCUUUCAGUAUCCUUUCUCUUAAUUAUCUCACCUCAUCCAUGAAGCUGGUAUGUACGAUUUUUCCUUUCUUUCUCAAUCCUUUAAAAAAUUAAAGCUCUAAAUCUCAUUUCCACUUAGAUUUUAAUGUUGCAUUGUAACUUAAGAUAAAACCUUGCUCUGAUGUUAAAAAUACUAAAGUAAGAAGCAAUAUGGCAUAGUGCUUAUGAGCAGGACUACAUAGUUCUUUCUGAAUACAAAUCUCAGAUAAAACACUAUCUCAGUGAUCAACCAGGUUAAGCAACCUUUUUAGUGCCUCAAUUAUUCCAUUUGUAAAAUUGUAAUAAUGAUAGUACUAACCUAUAAGAUUGUGGUGAGGAUUAAGUCAGAUAAUACAAAAGAAGCAUUUAGAGUAUUUCCUGGCAUUAUCUACCAUUUAUUGAAUUUUUAUGGUUAAGAAGAAUAAGGAAAAGCAGAAGAAAAGGAAAAGAGAAAAAA